RNAcentral lists this ribosomal RNA (428 nucleotides) under uncultured bacterium. RNAcentral's name for it is "bacterial SSU rRNA". It matches the Rfam family "Bacterial small subunit ribosomal RNA", at positions 355 to 775 of the family's 1533-position model. The record is from RNAcentral.
UGGGGAAUAUUGGACAAUGGGGGCAACCCUGAUCCAGCAAUGCCGCGUGUGUGAAGACGGCCUUCGGGUUGUAAAGCACUUUAGUUGGGGAAGAAGGGUAGCAUUUUAAGAGAUAGCUAUUUUGACGGUACCCAAAGAAUAAGCACCGGCUAACUCUGUGCCAGCAGCCGCGGUAAUACAGAGGGUGCAAGCGUUAAUCGGAAUUACUGGGCGUAAAGGGCGCGUAGGCGGUGUAUUAAGUUAGAUGUGAAAUCCCUGGGCUUAACCUAGGAACUGCAUCUGAUACUGGUACGCUAGAGUGCAGUAGAGGGUAGUGGAAUUUCCGGUGUAGCGGUGAAAUGCGUAGAUAUCGGAAGGAACACCAGUGGCGAAGGCGGCUACCUGGACUGACACUGACGCUGAGGCGCGAGAGCGUGGGGAGCAAACAG